CCUACGGGAGGCAGCAGUGAGGAAUAUUGGUCAAUGGACGAGAGUCUGAACCAGCCAAGUAGCGUGAAGGAUGACUGCCCUAUGGGUUGUAAACAUCUUUUAUAAAGGAAUAAAACGAGGCACGUGUGCCUUUUUGCAUGUACUUUAUGAAUAAGGAUCGGCUAACUCCGUGCCAGCAGCCGCGGUAAUACGGAGGGUCCGAGCGUUAUCCGGAUUUAGUGGGUUUAAAGGGAGCGUAGAUGGGUUGUUAAGUCAGUUGUGAAAGUUUGCGGCUCAACCGUAAAAUUGCAAUUGAUACUGGCAGUCUUGAGUACAGUUGAGGUAGGCAGAAUUCGUGGUGUAGCGGUGAAAUGCUUAGAUAUCACGAAGAACCCCGAUUGCGAAGGCAGCUUACUAAACUGUGACUGACAUUGAUGCUCGAAAGUGUGGGUAUCAAACAGGAUUAGAUACCCGAGUAGUC
RNAcentral lists this ribosomal RNA (460 nucleotides) under uncultured bacterium. RNAcentral's name for it is "partial 16S ribosomal RNA". It matches the Rfam family "Bacterial small subunit ribosomal RNA", at positions 338 to 795 of the family's 1533-position model. The record is from RNAcentral.